This 499-nucleotide ribosomal RNA is filed under the name uncultured bacterium. RNAcentral describes it as "partial 16S ribosomal RNA". It matches the Rfam family "Bacterial small subunit ribosomal RNA", at positions 30 to 523 of the family's 1533-position model. The record is from RNAcentral.
AUUGAACGCUGGCGGCAUGCCUUACACAUGCAAGUCGAACGGCAGCACGGGAGCAAUCCUGGUGGCGAGUGGCGAACGGGUGAGUAAAGUAUCGGAACGUGCCCAGUCGUGGGGGAUAACGUAGCGAAAGUUACGCUAAUACCGCAUACGAUCUAUGGAUGAAAGCGGGGGAUCGCAAGACCUCGCGCGAUUGGAGCGGCCGAUAUCAGAUUAGGUAGUUGGUGGGGUAAAGGCUCACAAGCCGACGAUCUGUAGCUGGUCUGAGAGGACGACCAGCCACACUGGGACUGAGACACGGCCCAGACUCCUACGGGAGGCAGCAGUGGGGAAUUUUGGACAAUGGGCGCAAGCCUGAUCCAGCCAUGCCGCGUGCAGGAUGAAGGCCUUCGGGUUGUAAACUGCUUUUGUACGGAACGAAACGGCGAGCUCUAAUACAGUUCGCUAAUGACGGUACCGUAAGAAUAAGCACCGGCUAACUACGUGCCAGCAGCCGCGGUAA